Spinacia oleracea (spinach) is the source of this 1190-nucleotide long non-coding RNA. RefSeq lists it as uncharacterized. The record is from RefSeq and is a predicted model, not a curated record. NCBI's taxonomy places the organism in Eukaryota, Viridiplantae, Streptophyta, Magnoliopsida, Caryophyllales, Amaranthaceae. The transcript has 5 exons.
UCUACCUCUCUCCUCAAACACUCUCUCUCUCUCCUAAACUCCCUACUUCUUCCUCUCUCCUCAAACCCGAUCCAGUUUCUGCCUCUCUCUCCUCAACCUCGCCGCUCAAAUUUUCCUCCGGCAAGGUUCUUGCACAAAAAUUCGGUUUGUAAAUGAGGUUUCGACAACGGAAGAGGGAGAAUCGGGGCCGUAGAAGAGGUGGAGGAGGGUGUCGGAGGUGGAAGCGUCAUUGAAACCGCCGGCGUCACACCCUUGCUACUGUCGCAAUCGAAGCAUCUAUUUCGAAAUCCUUGGAAAGGGAAGCUUGACGGCGGAGGUUUCUGGAGAAACUAGAUUGACGGCGGCGAGGUGGAGGAAGGAGGCGGGACGGUUAGUCGGAGAGGUGUUACGAUGGAGUUGUACAAGCUUUGUUUACUGGUGACAACUUCUGUUUUGGGAACCCUUUUCUCAAAUGGUUUAUAUCUUAGAGGAAACAGAAGAUGGCCCAAACUUGUAUGUUCACCAUGAUAUCAUCAUCUCAGCAUUCCCUUUAUGCACUGCAUGGCUUGACUUUCCACUAAAGGGUGGAAAAAGAGGCAUAUAUUUUCGUGUUCUACGUUGCAGCACUCUUGUUUGAAGCAAAAAGGCUAUUUCUGAAGUAUUUUAUGAAAUACAGGUCGAGUUAUUGCUGUUUUCUGUGCUUGUGUGGGUGUUAUCCUGGAGCAAAAAGGCUAUUUUUAGAUUUCUUAUAUUCUUUUAAUUUUCUUUUCUCCUAGCAAUGCAUUCUUGAGACCCUUGCAGAAGAAUUACUCGAUGAACAAACAGUUCAAACAUGCCUCAGGCAUAGGCUUUGCUGCUUCACACUCUAUUUACACUCGAUAAUACUACCACUCUAGUAUAAUCUUAAUGUUCUAUGAUUUUUUCUGAUAACGAGUCUCGGUUUGUGAAUAAGUUUGUGCUACCAUAUAAGGAAGUCCAUGAAGACUUGGCAUCCAGUAACACUUUUUUUGGGAUGGGUCCUUGCAUGGAUUUCCCCUAUAGAAUAUUGUAACCGUGAGGUCUAGAUGUUGAUGCUCCGGUAUAUCUUUCCGGCUUCGAUACCAUAUUUUUGUUCUUUUGAUAAUUUUUGUAACUUUUAACAUUCUGGAAUUUUUUUUAAAUUGACUGUCACUAUAUUUGCAUUUUGUGUUUUUGUAGUAUUAAAAGCUGCU